GUCCACGCCCUAAACGAUGUCAACUAGGUGUUGGGUGGGUAAACCAUUUAGUACCGGAGCUAACGCGUGAAGUUGACCGCCUGGGGAGUACGACCGCAAGGUUAAACUCAAAGGAAUUGACGGGGACCCGCACAAGCGGUGGAUGAUGUGGAUUAAUUCGAUGCAACGCGAAAACCUUACCUACCCUUGACAUGUCCAGAAGCCCGAAGAGAUUUGGGUGUGCCCGAAAGGGAGCUGGAACACAGGUGCUGCAUGGCUGUCGU
This 263-nucleotide ribosomal RNA is filed under the name uncultured bacterium. Its description in RNAcentral is "partial 16S ribosomal RNA". It matches the Rfam family "Bacterial small subunit ribosomal RNA", at positions 793 to 1055 of the family's 1533-position model. The record is from RNAcentral.